GCCUUCAUGGUGUAGUGGUCAGCACACUUGAUGCAUAAUCGAGAAGUCCAUGGUUCGAUUCCCGACGAAGGCG
Molecule: transfer RNA, 73 nt
Filed under: Stegodyphus mimosarum
Lineage: Eukaryota; Metazoa; Arthropoda; Arachnida; Araneae; Eresidae
Rfam family: tRNA
About the family: Transfer RNA (tRNA) molecules are approximately 80 nucleotides in length. Their secondary structure includes four short double-helical elements and three loops (D, anti-codon, and T loops).
Source: Rfam by way of RNAcentral